ACGAACGCUGGCGGCAUGCCUAACACAUGCAAGUCGAACGAGGCCUUCGGGUCUAGUGGCGCACGGGUGCGUAACGCGUGGGAACCUGCCCUUAGGUUCGGAAUAACUCCCCGAAAGGGGUGCUAAUACCGGACAAUGUCUUCGGACCAAAGAUUUAUCGCCUUUGGAUGGGCCCGCGUUGGAUUAGCUAGUUGGUAGGGUAAAAGCCUACCAAGGCGACGAUCCAUAGCUGGUCUGAGAGGAUGAUCAGCCACACUGGGACUGAGACACGGCCCAGACUCCUACGGGAGGCAGCAGUGGGGAAUAUUGGACAAUGGGCGAAAGCCUGAUCCAGCAAUGCCGCGUGAGUGAUGAAGGCCUUAGGGUUGUAAAGCUCUUUUACCCGGGAUGAUAAUGACAGUACCGGGAGAAUAAGCUCCGGCUAACUCCGUG
RNAcentral lists this ribosomal RNA (432 nucleotides) under uncultured bacterium. Its description in RNAcentral is "partial 16S ribosomal RNA". It matches the Rfam family "Bacterial small subunit ribosomal RNA", at positions 29 to 507 of the family's 1533-position model. The record is from RNAcentral.